GACGAACGCUGGCGGCGUGCCUAAUACAUGCAAGUAGAACGCUGAAGAGAGGAGCUUGCUCUUCUUGGAUGAGUUGCGAACGGGUGAGUAACGCGUAGGUAACCUGCCUUGUAGCGGGGGAUAACUAUUGGAAACGAUAGCUAAUACCGCAUAACAAUGGAUGACACAUGUCAUUUAUUUGAAAGGGGCAAUUGCUCCACUACAAGAUGGACCUGCGUUGUAUUAGCUAGUAGGUGAGGUAACGGCUCACCUAGGCGACGAUACAUAGCCGACCUGAGAGGGUGAUCGACCAAACUGGGACUGGGACACGGCCCAGACGCCUACGGGAGGCAGCAGUAGGGAAUCUUCGGCAAUGGGGGCAACCCUGACCGAGCAACGCCGCGUGAGGGAAGAAGGUUGUCGGAUCGUAAAGCUCUGUUGUAAGUCAAGAACGAGUGUGAGAGUGGUAAGUUCACACUGUGACGGUAGCUUACCAGAAAGGGACGGCUAACUACGUG
This 497-nucleotide ribosomal RNA is filed under the name uncultured bacterium. Its description in RNAcentral is "partial 16S ribosomal RNA". It matches the Rfam family "Bacterial small subunit ribosomal RNA", at positions 28 to 507 of the family's 1533-position model. The record is from RNAcentral.